AAAACUUUAAAAGAUAAAGGUUUUAUCUUAUUUGAAGUAAUUACCGACAUUUAGAAAUCCAUACAAAAGAGUACAAGCCCUUUAGAAAUGCAUGCGGUAGUGAUAGGUAGACAUAGAACUUUUAUUCCGAAAAUUGCAAAAUCCUAAAUGUUUUAAUGCAUUGCUAACUAAUUAAGAAGUUUGAAUUUAUGGUGAGUAAUCAUCAUCUCCACUACUACCAUAACCUGACCCACUUCCAUAUCCUGAACCACUUCCAUAACCUGAACCAUUGCCUCCACCACCUCCACCUCCACCGCCACCACCUCCUCCUCCUCCUCCACCUCUACCGCCACCACUUCCGUAUCCGGAUCCGGACCCAUAUCCUGAGCCUCCUCCAUUGCCACCAC
This 386-nucleotide long non-coding RNA is filed under the name Gossypium raimondii (Peruvian cotton). Its description in RNAcentral is "long non-coding RNA (GRAI_LNC009769)". The record is from RNAcentral. Lineage: Eukaryota; Viridiplantae; Streptophyta; Magnoliopsida; Malvales; Malvaceae.